CAGUAGCCGCGGGAAUACGUAGGGUGCGAGCGUUAAUCGGAUUUACUGGGCGUAAAGCGUGCGUAGGCGGCUUUUUAAGUCGGAUGUGAAAUCCCUGAGCUUAACUUAGGAAUUGCAUUCGAUACUGGGAAGCUAGAGUAUGGGAGAGGAUGGUAGAAUUCCAGGUGUAGCGGUGAAAUGCGUAGAGAUCUGGAGGAAUACCGAUGGCGAAGGCAGCCAUCUGGCCUAAUACUGACGCUGAGGUACGAAAGCAUGGGGAGCAAACAGGAUUAGAUACCCCGGUAGUCCCUGUCUCUUAUAC
RNAcentral lists this ribosomal RNA (301 nucleotides) under uncultured bacterium. RNAcentral describes it as "partial 16S ribosomal RNA". It matches the Rfam family "Bacterial small subunit ribosomal RNA", at positions 509 to 807 of the family's 1533-position model. The record is from RNAcentral.